RNAcentral lists this ribosomal RNA (468 nucleotides) under uncultured bacterium. RNAcentral's name for it is "partial 16S ribosomal RNA". The stretch from base 20 to 329 matches the Rfam family "Bacterial small subunit ribosomal RNA", at positions 47 to 358 of the family's 1533-position model. The record is from RNAcentral.
GACGAACGCUGGCGGCGUGCUUAACACAUGCAAGUCGAACGGAAAGGCCCUGCUUUUGUGGGGUGCUCGAGUGGCGAACGGGUGAGUAACACGUGAGUAACCUGCCCUUGACUUUGGGAUAACUUCAGGAAACUGGGGCUAAUACCGGAUAGGAGCUCCUGCUGCAUGGUGGGGGUUGGAAAGUUUCGGCGGUUGGGGAUGGACUCGCGGCUUAUCAGCUUGUUGGUGGGGUAGUGGCUUACCAAGGCUUUGACGGGUAGCCGGCCUGAGAGGGUGACCGGCACAAUGGGGAUGGAGAUAGGGCAAGGCCCCAGAGGGGGGGAAGAGGGGGGAAAUCGGGAAAAGGGGGGGAGGGCGGGAAGAAAAACCGCGGGGGGGGGGAUGAGGGCUUGGGGUUUGUAAACCGUUUUCGCUGGGGAGAGAGGGUGAGUGAGGGUAAGGGGAAAAGAAGAACGGACAAAAAACGUG